RNAcentral lists this non-coding RNA (176 nucleotides) under Kofleriaceae bacterium. Its description in RNAcentral is "6S RNA". It matches the Rfam family "6S / SsrS RNA". Rfam says of the family: E. coli 6S RNA was the first non coding RNA to be sequenced, but its function was unknown until recently. It consists of 184 nucleotides that fold into an extended hairpin structure with a large single-stranded internal bulge. Lineage: Bacteria; Pseudomonadati; Myxococcota; Haliangiales; Kofleriaceae. The record is from RNAcentral.
CACGGACGGUCUGAUGCGAUAAACGAGGUAAAUCUGUCUCCUACAAUUACUAUCCAGGGAUCUGCCUCUGUUCUGGGUGUGCACGCCCGCACGUCGGGAAGCCCAAAGGAAUAUCGUGGAGCCCACCUACGCUAAGAGUAGGGGAUGGCAUCACCUCACGGUCGGACGGUUCGUGC